CGAGCUGCCGAGCGCGCGAGGACACGCCGGCACUAAGCCACCCACAGAACAUGCGGUUCUUACGCAAACGCGAGUCCGGGGUUGCGAGUGCUGGUGGAGGCCAGGGCCACCAAGACGCAUCCCACAGUGCAGAGGCUAGGCCCCAGGGGACAAUGAUCUGGCCGAAACUGGGCAGCGGCACAACUGCGAGGACCGCAGACUUGGUGCAGGGAGACUCCGGUGGUUUCCCCAUCUCUCCUCCCCUCCCCCCCGGGGGAGCCCUCCAGCCGAGGCCGGUGCCAUUCUGCU
Non-coding RNA from Callorhinus ursinus (northern fur seal), 288 nucleotides. The record is from RefSeq and is a predicted model, not a curated record. Lineage: Eukaryota; Metazoa; Chordata; Mammalia; Carnivora; Otariidae.